UCCCUGGUGGCUCAGUGGUAAAGAAUCUGCCUGCAAUGUAGGAAACACAGGUUAGAUCCUGAGUCAGGGAA
Molecule: transfer RNA, 71 nt
Filed under: Bos taurus (domestic cattle)
Lineage: Eukaryota; Metazoa; Chordata; Mammalia; Artiodactyla; Bovidae
Also listed under: 1 other name
Rfam family: tRNA
About the family: Transfer RNA (tRNA) molecules are approximately 80 nucleotides in length. Their secondary structure includes four short double-helical elements and three loops (D, anti-codon, and T loops). Further hydrogen bonds mediate the characteristic L-shaped molecular structure. tRNAs have two regions of fundamental functional importance: the anti-codon, which is responsible for specific mRNA codon recognition, and the 3' end, to which the tRNAs corresponding amino acid is attached (by aminoacyl-tRNA synthetases). tRNAs cope with the degeneracy of the genetic code in two manners: having more than one tRNA (with a specific anti-codon) for a particular amino acid; and 'wobble' base-pairing, i.e. permitting non-standard base-pairing at the 3rd anti-codon position.
Source: Rfam by way of RNAcentral